AACAUUUAUUUGUAUAAAAGGAAAUGACAAAUGCUAAAAUGACAUUAAAAUGGUUGUUCAUGUCGCACGUGGUGGAAUGCAGUUUGUAAAUAAUGAUCCGGCGCCAAUACAACAUUUACCCUUGGACCAUUGUCACUUUUUUUUUAAGCAUGUAAUAUAAUCUCAUUUUUUACUCCAACGAUUACUAAGAAGUUCUGCGACAAAAAAAAAGUAAAGUCCUGGCGCCAGCGUUUGGAUUUCAUACUUAGGUUACUUGAACGCGAAACAAGAUGCAGCGAAAAUAAAUAAAAAGGUAUGAAUAAAUAAAAUGUGAAGCAAAGGAAGAGGCGAACUGAGAAAAUGAAUAAAAAAAUUAUAAAAGAUUGUCGACCGCCCACCUAAUAACACCUCCCGAACGACGUUUAAUGGAAUACAAGAGCAAAUUCGAUGCACAUCCACCUCGCUAUGCAAAGUAACUUAAAAGAAAAAAAUUUUUUUUUUUUUUUCAACAAGUAAACGAGGGUAUCAUAUCCCUGAGAAAUUCACACCUCAUUUAUGCGCUUUGAGAUUAUAUCACCGAUGUAUAUCGUUAUUUACAAUAAUAACAAACAUAUAGAAAAAAAAAUAUUCAAGUAAAAUUAACACUCUGCGUAUAAUAUGGAUCACGCGAGGUUCCGGCUUUAACAAAAUACCGGAUUUAUUAUCGCUCUCACCUCAUGUGUAACUCUUCGACGAGAGCUUUAAUGCUCGUUUUUUCUCAUACAAAUGAAGAAGAAAAACGAGUAAAAAGUACUGAAGAAUCUCGACAGUUCGCGUGGCGGUUUACUAUACUGCAAACUUUAUUCUAUCAUCAUUUAAGGAAGAAACUCCAAAAAUUAGUGCAAGCAAAUAUUGAAAAGCUAAUAUAAGCGAAACCCUGAACAGAAUACACAUUUGAGUGGUCCAGAGUGGGGAUUAUUGAGAGUUAGUACCUUGUGAAGAAGAUUCAAACACGGUAAAGUCUUUUACUCUUUUACGGAAUAGUCUACAAGGUGGAUUUUAACCAGUUUCUCU
Molecule: long non-coding RNA, 1032 nt
Organism: Cotesia glomerata
Lineage: Eukaryota; Metazoa; Arthropoda; Insecta; Hymenoptera; Braconidae
Exons: 5
Source: RefSeq, a predicted model, not a curated record